RNAcentral lists this unclassified non-coding RNA (1482 nucleotides) under Nilaparvata lugens (brown planthopper). Its description in RNAcentral is "fanconi anemia group M protein homolog, transcript variant X2". The record is from RNAcentral. Lineage: Eukaryota; Metazoa; Arthropoda; Insecta; Hemiptera; Delphacidae.
UUCACUUUUUAGCAGUUUGUUGCAUGUUUUUGGGUACUCUUUGUUUAUAGUUUUUGUUUGAAAUCAGUAUAUUAUUAUAAACAGGAUAACUUAAUUAACUCACCAGCUUGUGAAUGAAAAAAGAAGUACAUUUUUUAAAGAGGUUGAAACAAACAAAAUGAGAUGGAUGAUGAUAUCAACUCGGACGAUUUUGAUAAAAUAUUAGCAAAAAUACAAGAAGAGAGCUUGAGGCACUACAAUGAAGUAGAACUACCUCGAGCAGCUGCCCUCAAGGAACAUGAACAGAAGAAAACGUUGAAUGUUUCGGAGGCAGAUAUUUUCAUUAGUAAAGUAACCAGCAAAGAUGGAAACACAAGUUUUGGUGAUACUGGUGAACCUUUGUUUCAUCAUGGCGAGGAUGCAGAAGGAUUCCAUUACGCCGCUGGAAAAACCUACAUUUAUCCUUCCAAUUAUCCCGUCAGAAGGUAUCAGGCUGAUAUUGUUCCUACGGCAUUAUUCCACAACACGCUUGUCAGUCUACCGACAGGUCUGGGCAAAACGUUCAUCGCGGCGGUUGUGAUGUACAACUUCUACCGAUGGUAUCCAAUGGGCAAAGUGAUAUUUAUGGCCCCCACUCGGCCUCUGGUCACCCAACAGCUCAGUGCCUGUCGCGACAUCAUGGGCAUUCCAGUCGAAGACACCGUUGAACUAACCGGUUCAACACAUGCUGAAAAUAGGAAAGCGUUAUGGACGUCGAAACGUGUGUUCUACCUAACACCGCAAGUUCUAAUGAACGAUCUGAGAAGCAACCUCCUGCAAGCGUCCGCCAUUAAAUGUCUUGUGAUUGAUGAAGCCCACAGAGCUACCAAAGGAUACGCCUAUUGUCAAGUUGUCAAAAUAUUGUACGAAGAGAAUGUGAAGUUUCGUAUAUUGGCUCUAUCAGCAACACCGGGCACUGAUGCAAAUGCUGUGAAAGACGUUAUACAAAAUCUACACAUAGAAAAACUCGAGAUACGAAGCGAAGACAGUGAGGAUGUGGUGGAGUAUUCCCACCAAAAAUCCGUCAUACCAAUUAUCGUGGAUCUUCCAGCUUUUCUGCGAGAUAUAUGGAGUCAGUACAUGCAGGUCUAUGACAACUACGUUCGGAGAAUCAGAGAUCUCAAAAUUUUCAAUCAAAAUGUGGCAACAAUGAGCAAAUUUCAGAUGUUAACGGCGUACAGGAAGUUCACAUCUCGUCCACCAUCCACCCUUCCGCAUAAUGUGGUGCAGAGUUUGAAUGGUGACUUCACAAGCUGCAUAACCCUGGCGCAUGGCAGAGAACUGUUGCAAACUUAUGGCCUACGUACAUUCCAUUCUUAUUUUCACAGAUGCUGAAAACUCGAACGAUAAGGCAGCUUCUAUAACAAGAUUGAGUCACGAUAAAGAUUUCAGAAAACUGCUUGGUACAAUUGAGGAAAUUAUAUUCAAGGAAGACAACGGAGACAGUAGGCUGUACAAUUGGAG